This 157-nucleotide non-coding RNA is filed under the name Swingsia samuiensis. RNAcentral describes it as "6S / SsrS RNA". It matches the Rfam family "6S / SsrS RNA". Rfam says of the family: E. coli 6S RNA was the first non coding RNA to be sequenced, but its function was unknown until recently. It consists of 184 nucleotides that fold into an extended hairpin structure with a large single-stranded internal bulge. The 6S RNA specifically associates with RNA polymerase holoenzyme containing the sigma70 specificity factor. The record is from Rfam by way of RNAcentral. Lineage: Bacteria; Pseudomonadati; Pseudomonadota; Alphaproteobacteria; Acetobacterales; Acetobacteraceae.
AUGGAGCUGCCUGGUGCGUCAGGUAUAUCAACCCCCGGGCCGAUAAGCAUUCCUUAGGGAGCUGGCUCUGUCGUGGCCGUGGUCAUGUUAACCGGCGCCCACCUGCACUUGCAGGUCUAGGAGGGCUGAACAAACCAACGGCUUUGGUGGCUCCAUU